This 15257-nucleotide long non-coding RNA is filed under the name Coffea arabica (coffee). RNAcentral describes it as "long non-coding RNA (CARA_LNC004869)". The record is from RNAcentral. Lineage: Eukaryota; Viridiplantae; Streptophyta; Magnoliopsida; Gentianales; Rubiaceae.
UUUUUUUUUUUUUUUUUUUUUUUUGCAAUUCGACGUUGCCAAUUGGAGAAGGUCUUACAUCUCCAUCUUCGGCGAGUGGUGAAGUAUAUAACGACAUUGCUGAGAUGUUCUGAACAAUCUACAGAGGAACUUGAUAUAGGUUCUUUUAUGACAAUCUACAGAGGAACUUGAAAAUAAGUUCUUUUAUGGCAUCUUUGUUGCUUUUUCAUGUGACACUGAAACAGUUCCAUCAAGGAGCUAAUAAGUUUUUCACAGGCCAAGCUGAAUUAUGUAUCUUGCAUUAAGUUGUCAAGAUGUGUGACGAUGAAACUUAUCUUGCAGGUAAUCUUCCUUCUGACUCAACCUCUAUCUCUGGUGGCUUGGACUCCUACAACAACAUCUCAUUUAUGACAAUGACUCUGAGGAUGCUGCAUUGCCUAAUCCAGAAGUUUAUACGGGAACAGUAGCAAACGACCAAGUAGCAGGCAAGCUGUCGGUCAUGUGCUGUGUUAUCACUUAUCAGUUGCAUGUUUUGAUGUUUAAAAUCUAGACGUUAUUUAGUCUGAUUUCAAAGUAUCUGUGGACUCAAGUUAAUACUGUCAACGAGGGAGAAAGCUUGGUAAAUGGGGACUUGAGUGCAGACGCUGGAAAUCAUGAUGCGGACUCAUCCAGUCAUACAUCUUUUGAAGAAGCUCACCCUCUCGAGAGACUACAAAAAGUUGUUGGAUCCUUAAUCCAACGUUGGACUUAUAUGUGAAUAAUUAUGAGUUGCAAAUUGUCAAAUAAGAUUAAGUCCAAUUAAAGUGAUCAAAUAUAGUUUGGACUUAAUGUAUCUAAUAGGAUGUGGGCCUUUAAUGUGUAGAAACUUAAGGACUCCUAUUUCUAUGUUGGGCUAAAAUAGGGCUCCAAAAGGUAACAGGAAUAUUACCUAUAAAUAGGGUUAUGGUCCCCAGGUCACGUGGAUUAUUCUUUUGUCGUAUUUUCUAGUACCACAAAAUAUAGCUCUUCCCUGAUAUCCCAUCCUCAGGAAAGAUACCAGAGAGACACUAAAGGGUUCUCUCAAGAAUCGGCGAAUACGUGUUGACAUGGAAAGCCACCCCAAUAUCUUUAGAGAUUCAUAUAUCAGUUUGUCGAUAUGAAUCCAGGUACGCUUCUGCAAUUUUUUCUGUUUAUUUAUUUAUUAAUAAUCGCCAUAUUGAUUUUGGGUUUACUAGGUGAUGGCUUUCACCAAAGAUUAAUAUAAAUUGCCACCCUAACAAGUGGAUCCUCCUGUGAGAAUUCUCUUAUUAGCUUUAUGUAGCUCUUGUUCUGUGUUGUAUCAUUUUAAUAAGGAAGGUGACUUGUCUAAAUUAAAUAUCAUUAGGACCCUCCUCGAUGAUAUUCUUGACCUCCAAUUAGAGUAUUAUUUCCGUUUAUGAUUUUCUUUAGAUCCUUCUGUUUGUUGAUGCUGUUUUCAAUGAGAUUAUGCAGUAUGUAGAUGAAGUUAGGGCAAGGGAAUACUACAUCCAUGUUGCAGUUCCUGAUUUGACAAUGUCGCACUUGGAGGCCUGCUUGUCAAUAGAAGACCUGACCACGAUCGCUUACAGUGGUUGGAGUUUUGGAAACUUAACAGAGGAGGUAAUGAUCCAUAUUUGGCAUUUGGACUUGAUGCAACGAAUAUGGCUUUUUCUGUUUUCUUUAUUUUUUGAAGAAAGUAAAGCUUUGAGUGCUGUCUCAGUGCCUUUGCACAUAGCAAAGUGCUUCAGUUAUCAUAGAAACAAAAAUUACACAAAAAUAAUAAUAAUAAUAAAACAAGUAAAGAUAUCUUUUUUAGAGCUUCAGUUUGAUUUGAAAGAUAUUGAAGGAUUCGUGGGAAGCAUGCAUAGCAGGAAAGCGUUGGGCGUUAUCUAGAAUGAUAGGUUUCAGAAAUGUUAUAUAUUCUCGUUGUCUUUUUUUGUUUUAAAUAUGUUAGAAGCAAAUUAAAAUCUGUCUAACCAUAUGCCCAUUUGGAGGUUUUUACAAGAAUUAACUACACCUAGAAAGAAUAGAAUCAUGGAUCUUGUGAAAUUUUCUUAUACCUCAUAAAUAAUCUAGACAACUAAAAAGAUUUGAGAAGAUUUCAAAUCUUUCGCCAAAUCCCUCAAUCCAAACACAACUACAGUACACAUGGUAAGUUCAUGUGAAUUCACUUUGUAGGAGGUCUGUCUCCACAUAAAGGGACUUAUUCGUAAAGAGGAAGCUAGGAUUCCAUACCAUCUCUAGUCGUUUAAAGACUAGAGUUUAUACUCCAUUUGCGAAUGGCUUGGGCACAACACAAGUUCAAGUGACAAGCAGGAGAAGUGCAGCGUAUGCAUGGUAAAUAGCACAUCUUUUCGUCCACGUUGCAUCUUUUCCCUGAGUUUUCGUGCUUCCCUUUGAAUGAUCAUAUCCGCUAUUGAGCAGGAAACGUAUAAGAUGAAUGACAGCAUUACUGAUCUUUACUAUUGUGAGCACAACUUCCAUGCAGAUUGUAUUAAAGAUCGGCUGCUACAAACGAAUACUUGCCCGAUGUGCAAAUCAUUAGCUAUCAUACCUAACCAUUUUUUAGAUUGAAAGGGUAAGAAGGUCGUUUAUAGCUUUUACAAACUUCAGAUCAUCCGAAUUUGCAUUCCGCAUUCGUUCCACAAGUUCGAAGCUCUCCAUCCCCAGGUCGGAAAAGAACUGAAGCAAGGUAGGUAUAAUAUCACCAAAUUGACUGCAAAAAAUAUCACGUAAUUAAGAACAAGUAGUACACAUGCAGUAUGUGUAGUAAAAAAUCCAUUUGAAAACUUACACCAUUGUUGCUGAUGAUUUGAGAAUUGAGAGUUGAAAGAUUAAGAUGAAGAAGACAGCACCAUGUUUUUGAAAUUGAUCGUUGAGGAGGGAAAUGAAAUAAACGACGUACCACUCUAUAUAUACACACACAGUCAGUUAGUUAGUGUCAGUAGGCCAGAGUCUAGAUCACAACUUCACGCAGAACGCCUCUUCCAUCUUUUUUCUUUUCUUUUUUUUAAAAUUUAUUUUACCGUCACAUGCAUGCAAAUUUUUUUUUCCUUUUUUGUGGGGGAGGGGGCUUUGGGUUGUUUUUGGGGGGGGGGGUGUGGGGUGGGGGCGGGGGAAGACAUGCAUGCAAUGUUCGAAUACAUUUCUUUCCUUAUUAUUAUAUAAUUCGCCAACCACGAUAACUUGAGAAAGAAGCAAAAAGAGAAGAAGAAAAACAAUGAUGCGCUAUUAAUAUAUUUUGGUAACAAUCUUUUUUAGUCGCGCUCUCAUCUCUCAAAUGCUCUAAGAAUUCGAAAAUCGAAACAACGAUUACUAUUUCACCACCUUUACUAUUUCACCACCUUAUUCCGUACUUUUCUUCAUCUAGUCAACUUCCUUGAGCUCUCUUCUCUUUUCUGAGCAACGAAUUUGCCUACCAAAAGAUUAUUUUGCAAGUUAUAUUCAAAAUAGCUUAGUUUAAUUUCUCCUCGAAAGUAUACUAAAACCAAUUAUAAACUUAAAAGUUUUUUUUUUCUAAAUGGCAAUUUUUCUGAUAUAGUGUUUAAGCAACAAAUGCGUAGCAUCCAAAUUAGUUCAUAUCACUCCCAAACAAAGGUUUUGCAAAAAAUAAAUAAAUAAAUAAAAUGCUUUUUUUGUGGAAGAACCAUAUUUACCAGUAAUGAGUUACCGCGGGGACUUGGGUCAUUGAAGCGUGGAUUAGCUAAUAUACUUUAAUAGUUUUGAGGUUAGGAAAUAAACGAAACAGCAUUGAGACCAGUCCCGUCAAAGAAGUUUUUUGAAGUUUUUGUUUUUUCCUUUGUGUUGGUGGGGUGUUUUUGUUGUGUGUGUGUGUGUGUGUUUCCCCGACAUCCAAAACAAAUGUACAAAUCAAGGUGAGUGGAAUUCGAAUAUGGCAAUUUUUCUUUGAUUAUAAUAUAAUCUGCAUAUGCGUCUCUCACUCUGAGAGAAAAUUUCUCUCUGUCCUAGAGAGAGAAAGUCCCCCUUGUGGGUGGGUUCUCGUUUAGGAAAGUUCAACUCUCUAGGUUUAGGCGCCAUUUUUAAAAUCUUUCUAUUCCCGGAAACUAACAAAUUCCUUCCAUUACUCCUGAUCACGUAGUGGUGUUUGCUCAAGAUAGCUUUUGUUAUUGUUUGAUCCGCUGCGAUGAGAUGUGGUCUACUUGCAUCUAAUCGUUUAGCUCCUGUGUUUCGAUUAUCGUUUUGUUCGCUUUGUUUUUUCUACUCUGAUCUUUUUGUUUCUCUCCGUGUGUGGCAGUAUUGGCUGGUGCUGGGAGCUAAUAAGGAAGCAUCGAAGGACUCGGACGGACUCUGGCUUUGUGCUGGAUUGGUAGCUACUGGAAUUCUCAAGUGUAUGGUCUGUGGAAGGAGGAAUGGAUAGUAUCAAGGAGGUUUUAAGGAAGUUUAAGCUAUCAGAGGAAGAAAGAGAGGGAGUAUGUUUGGAGGAGGAGGAGAUGGCGCAAGGCGUCAGGGAGUGCGAACUGAGUCUGAUUGGGAAAGUCUGGGGGGAUAAACUAGCAAAUAUUGGAGGUAUUAGGAGUUUUGUAGGGGUUAUGUGGCCUCAGGUGAGGAAUCUGAGAGUGGUGGAGAUUGGUCGCAAUCUGUUUCAAUUCCUGUUUGAAAAGGAGAAGGACAUGGAUCUGGUUUUGAAUAAGAGAUCGUGGAUCUAUGAUGGUCAACCUCUGAUCCUAUUGCGGUGGAGAGCUGGCCUGGAAGAGGAGGGAGAGGCCUUGAGUAAAACUUUGAUAUGGAUUCAGCUCUGGAAUAUUCCGAUCCAUUGGAUUACCAAGGAGGUUGGCAGGAAGGUUGGAAGUAUUUUUGCAAGGGUGGAGGAUGUGAUAAUUCCCCAGGGAGGGGGAAAAGAUGGUAAACAUCUAAAAAUCCUUACUGAAAUUGAUCUGACAGUUCCUUUACCAAGGGGAAUUAUGGUUAAGAGUAAUGGAAUGGUGAAGUGGAUUGAAUUUAAGUAUGAAAAAUGCCCUGACUUCUGCUUUUGUUGUGGUAGAGUUGGGCAUAAUGAGAGAAGCUGUGGGAGGAAAGGUUUGGAUAAGGAGAGAGAACCUCAGUAUGGGAAUUGGCUGAGGGCCAGCUAUCCUAGAAGUCCUAACAGGAAGAGUAGGAACGGGAAUGACCAUAGGGAGGAUGUAAGGGAGGAAUCCCAAUUUCAGCCUAAGGAAGAGGAUAGGACUAAGGAUAAUCAGCUGCUGUUGACUUAUACAGCAGCUUUUCAUGAGAGGGAGGGUGUGGGAGCUAACAGUAGGGGAGGGGGGAGCAGUAAGGGUCAGCUGGGGGGAAGGGAACCUCUAAUUGAGCAGAUUAGUGGGAAGGAUGGGGGUUUUGAAGGUGAGGUGGGGAAGGAAAUGGAGAGGAGGAUGGGGGAGGAAGGUGAUGGCAAGCUAGGAAGAGGGGGUAGUGGUGGUCAGGGUGGGUUAAGGGUGGAAAAGGACCAAAAGCUGCAUCAGGGGGUGAGCCAGGGUGAGGGGUCAGUGGGAGAAAUGACUGAUUUUAUGUGGAUUGAUGGGGUGAGGAAUGAGGGCAGAGUGUUGGGGGAGGGGAAGGAGGGUAGAAGAUGUAAGGGGGUGAUGGAGGACAGGGAGAAGCAGGGAAAGCAUGGGGGAAGAGGGAAAGGAGUGCAUAAGGCAAACAAAACAUGGAAAAGGCUGGUUAUGGAAGUCAGUAGGAGAAGACCUCUGGUUGUAGUCAAUGAGGUGGAGGGGGGGAGCGAGAGAGGGAAAAGGAAGAUAGAAACAAUGGAAUGGGAGGAUGGGGGGAAUUGGAGGGGAAGGAAAAUAUGAAGAAAAUAAAGGCAGAUGGAGGGAGCGGUGAGGGGAUGGACAUAGCUGAGGGGUUGGAGCCCACCCUUAUUGGGGCUCCAAGUGUUAUAUGAGAGCUAUGGUGUGGAACUGUCGAGGUGUGGGGAGCCCCUUGACAGUUCCCCAACUGAGGGAGGUCAUAAGACUCCACUCUCCAUCUUUGGUUUUUUUGUCAGAAACAAAAAAGAAAAAAAGCUUCCUGAACAGUGUUAAGCAAUGGAUUAAGUUUGAUAAUGUGUUUGUGGUUGAUCCAGUAGGACUGGCUGGGGGAUUGGCUGUACUAUGGAAACAGGAAUUGAAGGUGAAAAAGGUGCUUUUUACCAGUUUCACUAUAGAAUUACUGAUUGAUGAUUGGGAGAUUGGUGCUGAGUGGUGGUGUAUUUGUGUCUAUGCGAGUACAAAUGCUAGUGUUAGGAGGGAGCAGUGGAAGGUAUUGGAAAGAAGAAGUUGCAUUUGGGGGGAAUCCUGGGCAAUUCUGGGGGACUUGAAUGAUAUCACUUCAAAUGCUGAAAAGUGAGGAGGCAGGGAACGAGCUGAUGUGAGUUUUCAUGACUUUACUACUUUUAUCAAUGGUAAUGAACUGGUAGAUAUUGGCUUUGAAGGUGUUCCUUGGACCUGGUGUAACAAUUGGAAAAGUGAGGGGGAGGUGAAGGAAAGGAUUGAUAGGAUUCUGGGAAAUACAGGGUGGAUUAGGAGGUUUGAGAAGGCAAAGUGCACUCACAUAGAGACUGAGGCUUCUGAUCACUGUAUUCUGCUGCUAGAUACUAAGCCUGAACGGAGAAGGUGGAAGAGGAGGUUCAUGUUUGAUAGGAGGUGGUUACAACACAGUGAUAUAGAAGAGGUUGUAGGAGGUGCUUGGGAGAGGCAGCAAGGGGGUUCAAGGAUGUACAUGGUUCAAUCCAAGAUUAGAAGAGUCAGAAUGGAUCUGCUUGGUUGGAGUAAGCAGAAGUGCGGUAAUUCAAAAAGUCUGAUUCUAAAGGUAAAGCAAGAAAUCCAAGAGGUUAAGGAGAGUAGAGGUGAUGGUUAUAGAAUUAAGUUAGCAGGUUUGAAAAGGAAGUUGGCAGAGGCUUAUAAGCAGGAGGAGAUAUAUUGGAGCCAAAAGGCUAGGGUGAAGUGGUUACAAGAAGGGGACAAAAAUACGAGUUAUUUCCAUGCUAAGGUGGUGGGGAGGAGAAGGAUGAAUAGGAUUAGUGUACUGAAAAAUAGCAGUGGUGUGUGGUGCAAGGAUGAAGAGGAAACUUGUCAGGAGAUAGUUGAGUAUUUUCAGCACAUUUAUACGUCUGAGAGGCCUGAGGAGUUUUCUGAGAUCUUAGAGGGAAUUCCACAGACCAUCACUGAUGAGAUGAACAUGAAGCUCACCAGGAAGGUCACAGAGCAGGAGAUCAGUCAGGCAGUAUUUUCGAUGCAUCCUAAUAAGUCUCCUGGACCAGAUGGUAUGUCACCAGUUUUCUUUCAAAAGUUCUGGUCAAUUUUAAAAGUUGAUAUCAUCUGUGCUGUUAAUAGCUUCUUUGAUUCUGGUUUUAUCCUAAAAUCUAUUAAUGAGACCCUUAUUAGUCUUAUCCCCAAAAUUGAAUUACCUAGCACUAUAGCAGAUCUUAGACAUAUAAGUCUGUGUAAUGUGCUGUACAAAAUUAUCUCUAAAGUAAUUACCAAUAGGUUCAAGCAUGUCCUGAACUAUUGUAUUAGCUGUCCUCAGUCUGCUUUUGUUAAUGGGAGGCAGAUUUUGGAUAAUGUUCUUAUAGCUCAUGAGGUUAUUCAUUUUCUCAAAAAUAAGAGGACAGGGAGAGAUGGGUAUAUGGCGAUCAAAAUUGAUAUGGCUAAGGCCUAUGAUAGAGUCGAAUGGAAUUUUUUGGCCAAAGUCAUGUUGAGAAUGGGGUUCUGUCCGAAGUGGAUUCAGUGGGUGAUGCAGUGUGUUUCUAGUGUCACUUAUGCAAUAAAUUUUAAUGGGGAAAAGAGAGGUUUUAUUAGGCCAACUAGAGGUUUGAGGCAGGGUGAUCCUUUGUCCCCUUAUCUCUUUUUGAUAUGUGCUGAAAGUUUUUCUUCUCUGUUAAAGCAAUCAGUUGUUCAGGGGAAGCUGACUGGGAUUAGGAUUGCAAGGGAAGCUCCUAGGCUGUCUCAUCUAUUUUUUGCAGAUGAUGCGUUGAUCUUCUGCAAAGCAACUGCUAUGGAAGCUGGGCAGCUAAGGAGAAUAUUAGAGGUAUACAGGGAGGCUUCGGGACAAUUGAUCAAUAUGGAGAAAUCUUCUUUAUUUUUUAGCAGGAAUGUGGUGCAUAGAUAUAAGGCAGGUGUAUUGAGGGAACUACAAGGGAUGAAGGAGGCACAACAAAGUAGGUACUUAGGGCUGCCUUUGGUUAUUGGAAGGUCCAAAAGGCAGACCUUUGAUUUUGUUAAACAGAAAACUUUAGGCAGGUUGGAAGGGUGGAAAGAGAAGCUUUUGAGCCAGGCUGGGAAGGAGGUGCUGCUCAAGUCAGUUAUCAUGGCAUUACCUAUCUAUGUAAUGUCAUGUUGUAUACUUCCAAAGGACCUGUGUAGGCAAAUUAGUUCUGGGAUGGCAAAGUUUUGGUGGGGUCAAAAGGAAAAGAAGCACAGAAUCCACUGGUUGAGCUGGGGAAGGUUGGCUGAUGGGAAGGAAGAAGGAGGUCUAGGAUUUAGGGAGUUGCAUGAGUUUAAUUUGGCUUUGCUGGCAAAACAACUAUGGAGGAUUUUAACUAGGCCCAACUUGCUGAUGAGUAAGGUUAUGAGAGCAAGAUACUUUAAGGGAAUUUCAAUAUGGGCAAUGAAGAGUCAGAGUACGGAUUCUUGGUAUUGAAGAAGUUUACUGAAAGCAAGGGAGUUACUGGAGGAGGGAAUAAAGAAAAGGGUUGGGGAUGGAAAAUCAAUUGAUAUUUGGAAUGAUAGGUGGUUGCCAAAUUCUGGGAAUGGGAAAGUAAAAACUCCAAGGGCUGAAGGGGUGGCUGUCCAGUGGCUGAGUGAACUCAUUAAAGAUGGGAAGUGGGAUAGGGAGCUAAUUGCAGAAGUUUUUGAAGAAAAUGAAGGGAAGGACAUAGUGAGGAUACCUCUGAGUGUAUGUAGUAUGAAAGAUAGGAUAUAUUGGAGCAAGUCUAGUACGGGUGAAUAUACAGUAAAGUCAGGUUAUAGGUUGGCAAAAUGUAUGAGGAAGGAAGUGGCUGGUGACAGGAGCAUUGCUGAGUCAAGCAGCAGUAGGAAGUGUUCAGCUCAGAGCUGGUGUUUUUUGUGGGGAAUGAAUUUGAAGCAAAAGUUGAAGCACUUCAUCUGGAAAUGUUUACAAAAUAUCCUGCCAGUGAAUGCAAGUAUAAAGGCAAGGUGUGCUAAGGGGGAUCAUAUGUGUGGUUGUUGUGGGGAGCAUCCAGAGACUGUUGAACAUCUGCUGUUUUUCUGUGAUCAUGCGAAGGCGAUUUGGGAGAUGGCACCAGUAAGCUGGGAGGGGUUGGUAAUUCACAGAAAUAAGUUCUGGCACUGGUGGGAGGAAUUGAAAGAUGCAGUGUAUAAGGAGCAGGGACAGGAGCGGAUUGCAGUGACAAUAAAUUUGUUAUGGCAGAUAUGGAAGUCUAGGAAUGCAAGGCAGUUUGAAGCUAAGGCUAGGGACCCUAUGACAGUUGUCCAAAAAGCUGUUGGGGAAUGGAGGGAGUAUCAGGACGCUCAGGUGAAGGAGGGGGAACCAGUUAGUGGUAAUAGGGUGGGGAAGGAGGAGUUGAGUGAAUGGAAAGAACCUAGGGAGGCUUGGGUCAAGAUAAAUUCAGAUGCUGCUGUCCAUCAGAAUAAGGAUAAAGCAGGUUGGGGAUUGGUUGCGAGGUCUUGGCAGAAGGAGCUGGUGGGAGUUUGGGCAGUGCCAGGUGUAAGUUGUUCGAAUCCAAAAGUGGAGGAGGCUUUGGCUCUAAGAGCAGCCAUGCUAGUAGCCAAAUGUCAAGGGUGGAGAAGGGUAGAGUUUGAGACAAACUGUAAGCAAGUUAUUGACAGGAUAAAUAGUGGUGAAAAUGAUGUAGAAAUUGCAACGGUGCUCUCAGACAUAGAAAAGCUGAAGCUCAGUUUUUAUGAAUGUUGUUUUUCCUUCACUAGAAGGAAAAGCAACUCUGUUAGUCAUCAAGUAGCUAAAUUUGCUACAAAUUUGAAAGAAACUGCUGAAUGGAAGUCUGACUUCCCAGUUUGGUUGCUUGAGUUGGUGCAAGCAGAUUGUAGGGGCAGUUGCCCCAAAAAUUGUAAGUUGAGUUAGUCUAUAAAUGAAAUGUUGCUGUUUUGAUAAAAAAAAAAAAAGGUGAGUGGAAUUCAACCAGAGAAUAAUUGCUCAUAAUAACCACCAAUAACCAUGAUAAACUCAUGAGGACAGAAAGUUGCUUGUUUGUAAUAGUCGUAACUCAAAUGAGAUGUUCGAUUACUAUUUCACUUAAUUUUCUCUGGGAGAAAAAUCAAUAAUUUGCUCUUGUUUAAAUCCAAAUCAAUAAUGUGCUCUAAUUGCGUUAGUUUCAUUAGAUUCAUUCCAUAAAUACUUUUAUCAAGACUUGUGGACCUAAAACUUUUCGAUAGAGUCUAACACCAAUGAAGAUCUACUUUUUGGCUCUUUUCCCAAGAGACUCUAAGUGUGUUGAGACAGAAGAUUAUCCAAAACAUAAAAUGCACGAUAAAAAGAUAAUUGACAAAAAUUUAAAGUAAUUAAAAAAAUAUGUUAAUAAUAUAAUCAUUAAAGUAGAUAUAAUUUUGCAAAUAAUCUUGAACGCCUGAUUAUAACUAGUUCAAUUGCCAAGGGUGUAGUCCCAUGUAACACAUAGAAUAAGAACUAUACAGGCAUUUUCAUGAUGUUAGGACAGUUUUCUGCCGCCAUUUGAAUGAGAGGUUUUUUUUUUUUCGUUGCAACAAUAACAUUUUGGUUGGCUAAUCUUUGCUUUCGGCAUUUGAUUUUCUGUUGCAUGAGUUUAUAGAUGGCAAUUUUGAAAAUAGGUCUAUCUAAGUUUUGACCGCAUGUAUACUUCUCCUACUCUGAACUAACUAAACGACAUCGUGAUGCGGGAAAUAAUUAGCAGUAAUUGAAACUCUCACGAACAGAGUAUUACUAUAGAUCGGAUUGAACUACUGCGUCUGUACUUGACGCCAACUCUUUAAUUCGCACUGGCAAUAAAUCCUCGAACGCCGAACGCCGGCCUCCGGCCGUCAGAAAGCCUUAACAAUGUCAUGGCUAGCUCGAUCCAUUGCCAACACUCUCAAACUCGACGAAACCGAUGACCACGAGGGAAGCGCCGUCGUUUCCAAUCUCAAUGAACGCGACGCAGAACACGAAAAACAGCAGAAUCAAAACCUCGAUCCAUCAUCAUCAUCGCCGACUUCAACUCCACGUGGCGUCAAGGAUGACAUCUCCGAGCUCACCAAAACCCUAACCCGCCAAUUUUGGGGCGUCGCCUCAUUCCUCGCCCCGCCCCCUCAGUCCGAACCCUACAAGCCUCUCCAAGACUCAGAAUCCACCACUCCCCGAGGAAAAUCAAUUUCCAGAUCCGAUCAGGAUCAAUUAGAUUCCCAAGCCAUUGGAAUAACAGGAAUCCGGAACGAUUUCGCGGAGAUUGGGGGAAAGUUUCGCAGUGGGAUAUCGAUACUGUCGAACACCAUAGCUGUGUCUGAGUUCACGAAAAUGGCGUCUGAUCUUCUGCAAUUGGGAUCGGAUAAUGAGGAAGAGGAAGGGGAAGGCAAUAAUGCUUUGUCGAGUGGCGGUGCUGUUGGGGUGACUAAUGAAGUGGUAUCUUUUGCAAGAGAUAUUGCAAUGCAUCCUGAAACUUGGCUGGAUUUUCCACUACCUGAAAGUGACGAUGAUGAUGGUAAUUCCUGUUUGUACUACUCAAAUUAUUAUUGUUACUAUGUUUUUUGCCGUUUCGAACCUAAUGUGUAUAUUUUGGACUGGGUCUCGUUGUCUACUUUUGCGUUGACUCUUGAUGAUUUUGGUGGGCUAGUUAGAGCUUUUAGUGUUGGACUAGGUUGAUUUAACUUUAGCUGUGGAGAAGCACUUCGGCCAGUGGGCGGAGUGCAGAUUGAGAUGCAACGUAAUUCUAUAAGAGUGUGUGUUUUGGCGAUCUGUUGUUCAUCCUCCUGAUGCAUAGUACAAUUUCUUUUUUGUGCUUAAUAGAAAAACAGCUUUUGUUUAACCAUUGUCAGCUUUAAUUCUACUGAGUUUUUAUGAGGACAUUUCUGUUUCUCUAGACGAAAGGUGUAUUUGAUUGGAGAAAACAUAUCAUUUUUUGGCAUAAAAUCGGGGAUGCAUAGAGGGCAACAAUUUGGCACCAGAUGUCCGGAGGCAUGAUUACUGCAACUGAUCCUGGAAGGCUUCAUUGAAUAUUUCAUUUAUUAGACUCAGCUCAAAUUGGCAAGGACUCACUAUUUAUGUCAAAUGCUGGUUGUUGGGUUUUCGUUAGAAGUGGCAACAGUUCUAACUUGUUGCCCCUGACUUCUCAGAAAAAAGAAUUACUGAUCAAGUUGGCAAAGCUGAAAAGUGCUGAAGAAAUUAACAUGGUGGUUAUUAGCUGCCAGUGGUGUUGCCUUUUUCACCUUUUUCUUCUCCUAAUCCCAAAAGUGUCAUCUCUUUUCCAAUUGAAAAAAGUCCCUUCUUAUUCACUUUCCCUACUCCCUUCUUGUUUGCGUGUUUAAUAAAUUUAUGUCGCAUAAGAAAAUUUUUUUGCCUAGCUUUUGAUAAAAAAAAAUUAACUCACUUCAAAGUCUGAUUUCCUAUAUUUGUCUGUCGAUUUAUAUUUCUUUAAUUAUUGGUUUGUUAUUUCUGAGUCAUAAGGUUUUGUAACAUGCCAUAUUUGGCUGCAUGGUAACUCUGACCAUUACUGCAUCAGUAUAGCCUUUGUUCCAUAAUUUUGUGAAUCCAGCUUAUUAUGAUCAUUAUCUCUUCUAGAUUUAGUACAGGAAAGAUAAAUAUAGUGUGAUCUCCAUGGUGAUCAUUUGCUUGCUAUGUGAUGCUAGAUUUUGACUUGUCUGAUGCUCAGCAAGAACACGCUUUAGCUGUUGAACAACUUGCCCCAAGAUUAGCUGCUUUGAGGAUUGAACUUUGCCCAGGUUAUAUGAGUGAGAGUUGCUUUUGGAAGAUAUACUUUGUGCUUCUUCACCCUAGACUGGAUAAGAAAGAUGCGGAACUACUAUCAACCCCCCAGGCAAGUUGGUUACAUGACAUGGUGAUUCUAUUUUAUUUCAAUGUAAAAGAUAAUACAUUCUCAAUGUUGUUGAGGAACCAAUUUUCUUUAAACAUUGUCCUUUUGUGUACGUUUAUUGAGUUCAGACGUAAUAGCCUAUGAUUUCCUGGAGCCAAGAAGGUGGUAUUGGUUCUUGUUUGUGGUUAUGUUGAAUGUUGCAAUACUUCUGUACGUUCCUGUUGUCUUCAUUGAUAAAAUUGACAAAACAUUUUAGCUGAAACUAAUAUUUCUGGGAGCCCGUUGACAUGAUCUGACCUUGAAUGAGAUAGCAAUGGCAGUUGUUUUAACUGAAUAUUGCUUAUCUGUUGUUUGUUUGAAGUUUUGAGUUUUUCUGUAAGAGUUGAUGAGCUGCUCAUGCAAUCUUCAUUUUGCUGUCUGGCAUCGUACUUUAGCAUUCAAUAUUCUCUAUAAAACUAAACCAAUUGCAACUGGGCUAUAUUUGUUAAUUUCUUUUAGAGAGGAGAAAAGGGGCACAAGUUAGAGAUGCCCUGUGUUUGUGUGAUAGAGAAUUUAAUUGGUAUGAUAUCUGAACAGUUCAGUUUCAAGUAUAAUUUAGGGAAUCUUGUAAAGAUAAAGAAAGACUGGACAUUAUGCCUUCUAUUUUCAGUUUGGAUGAGUUGGAUGUUUACAUAAGAAUUCAUGUGUUAGGUGGUCUUAGUCUUUUGUCUGCCCUCUUAUGUUGUCCUUGCAGAUAGUAAAAGCCAGGGCCUUGUUAUCCCAGGGAUUGAAGAACCGUUCCAAGGCAAAACAACAAGACUGGUCUGGGGAGGGCAGUAUUGAUGUUCAAGAUAGUUCCAACCAUCAACCCGAAGAACCCCUAUUAGUACCUAUCAAAACUGAGUAUGAUAAUGUUCCCAAAACAUCUUUUACUGAAUCUGUAACUUCCACUGCUGCCAUCGAACAUGAGAUAGAGAAGCACCCUGUCAUGAGUGCUGAAAUUGCUAUCGUUGACAAAUCGGUGAUUGAAGAAAAAUAUGUUGACCAGACUAAGGAUCAAAGUAUACUUUUUGAUUCAAGUAAUGUAUUGGUAGAGAAAGAUGAGGAUGAUGCUGAUGAUUGGUUGAAGGAAGAAAGCUCUGGAGCUGGUGCAGGUGGAGCUACAAUUCCCAUUGAGAAUGAUGAGGAUGUGUCAUUUAGUGAUCUUGAAGAGGAUGAUAUGGAUGUGCCUGCUAGCUUUAAGAAAACAAGUCACAGUCCGGACAAAGAUGCACGAGAUUGGGUUCAACUGAGAAAAAGCUCUUCUGACUUGUCUAAUAGUACGCAAUCCGGGGCCAUUGAAACUGCUGGAUCUAAGAAGGUAAUUCCCAAGAACCCUGAGUCGAAGGAAUCCAGUGAUUGGCUUGAUGUUGAUGACAUUGAUGUGGCGUGAUCUUUUAUAUAAUCAGUCAACUGUGUGUGUACAAAACAUGGUAUCUCUACAUUCUACGGGCUUGUGAAUAGUGUACUGUUAAUUUAUUUGGUGCACCUUAAGUCUUGUUAAAUUGUAUGCUGUAAAUAUACUCCUUGAAUGAGCAAUAACUAAACAUCAGGGCAAUUGAUCUGAUAAACUUAAGCAGAUCAAUAACUCAAUGGUAAAUGAGCAAUUAUGUUGAUGUGUUUUCCAAUUCAUGUAGAUGGACAACAAAGAACCAAUUAUUGAGUAGUCGAGAUGCGUAGUAAAGUGGAGCAAUCUUACGCCCUUGGACGUGUGACACUGUAGCCUGUUGGUUGUUGUCCAGUCUGUUGUCCUUUUCCUCAUCUCGUGUAAGCGUUUGGGCCCAUUUACCGAACCAAGCGUUUGGCUAUUCGUGGACUUAUGAAAGGGUUUGAGUUCCACAGCAUCAUUUCCUUGUGAAGGUGUCAACUGACAUGAUUUUCGAAACUAAGUUUUGAUACUGAAUUGGUCCUCUUGGCAGUAUUUAGAACACAUUCUGACACUAUGACAUCAGGGGAGGAAAACUGGCAAAUCUUGUAAUUUAGGCCAUAAGGGAGCUGCGGCGAGAGAGAGAGGAGAUGAAGCGGUAAUAUAUACCAAUUUACACAAAUGCACUAUUAGCAUGACCUGUACUACCAAUUUUCACAAAUGGACUAUAUUUGCCAGAAGCUAGUGCACCUAGAGAUGCUAAUUAUUCACAGAAGAAGAGCUAACAUACAUCAAGUGCUAAGUUGGUCCUUUAUAAAGGACUAGGAUUUUAUGGGCCUGAAAUUGCUUGAGAGCCGCUCAAGGUGCGACCAAAACAAGCUUCCCAACGACAACUUCGGCCUGUCUUCUGUGCCAGCGCUGUUGCGGCCGCUGGUGGAA